Molecule: ribosomal RNA, 194 nt
Filed under: uncultured Rhizobacter sp.
Lineage: Bacteria; Pseudomonadati; Pseudomonadota; Betaproteobacteria; Burkholderiales; Sphaerotilaceae
Description: partial 16S ribosomal RNA
Rfam family: Bacterial small subunit ribosomal RNA
Source: RNAcentral
CCUACGGGAGGCAGCAGUGGGGAAUUUUGGACAAUGGGCGCAAGCCUGAUCCAGCCAUGCCGCGUGUGGGAAGAAGGCCUUCGGGUUGUAAACCACUUUUGUCAGGGAAGAAACGGCUCUUACUAAUAUUAGGAGCUAAUGACGGUACCUGAAGAAUAAGCACCGGCUAACUACGUGCCAGCAGCCGCGGUAAU